This 366-nucleotide transfer-messenger RNA is filed under the name Burkholderiales. RNAcentral describes it as "Duodenibacillus intestinigallinarum Standard tmRNA". It matches the Rfam family "transfer-messenger RNA". From Rfam's summary of the family: Bacterial tmRNA, also known as 10Sa RNA or SsrA, is named for its dual tRNA and mRNA-like properties. Its role is to liberate the mRNA from a stalled ribosome. RNAcentral also lists the same sequence under 2 other names. Lineage: Bacteria; Pseudomonadati; Pseudomonadota; Betaproteobacteria. The record is from RNAcentral.
GGGGGUGUUCCGGUUUCGACGGGGUGUAGGACGCCGUACGGUGCAUGCCGAGGUCUAGUUUCCUCGAUAAACAACUAGAAAAAAAUAAACGCCAACAACGAGCGUUUCGCUCUCGCCGCUUAAUGCCGCGAGCGAUGCACUGAGUGGUCACAGGCUCAGGUCGGGUAAAACCGGCAGCAUCGUCAUUUCACUGUGACUGGAAGCGCACGGAGCCGUGACGUGCACUUCGAGAUCCAAGCGGCUGGCCGUCUGGAGGCCCGUUUAACGGCAGGACAGACGGUGAGAACUCAAAAUUGUUGAACUAAGCAUGUAGAUCCGACGGAAAAAUCGCUUCGGACGCGGGUUCAAUUCCCGCCACCUCCACCA